UUGAUCACCGCGUCCACACUGGCACCAUGGUUAAGCAACAGUUGUAAGAUAUCAUCAUGACCGCGAAUUGCAGGGUGGUGCAAUGGUGUAUUACCAUCCUUGUUCACCGCGUUCACACUGGCACCAUGGUUAAGCAACAGUUGUAAGAUAUCAACAUCACCGCGAAUUGCAGGGUGGUGCAAUGGUGUAUCACCAUCAUUGUCCACCGCGUCCACACUGGCACCAUGGUUAAGCAACAGUUGUAAGAUAUCAACAUGACCGGAGAUUGCAGCUUUGUGCAAUGGUGUAUCACCAUCAUUGUCCACCGCGUUCACACUGGCACCAUGGUUAAGCAACAGUUGUAAGAUAUCAUCAUGACCGUAAGAUGCAGCUUUGUGCAAUGGUGUAUAACCCUCCUUGUCCACCGCGUUCACACUGGCACCAUGGUUAAGCAACAGUUGUAAGAUAUCAUCAUGACGCUGAGAUGCAGCUUUGUGUAAUGGUGUAUCACCAUCAUUGUCCACCGCGUCCACACUGGCACCAUGGUUAAGCAACAGUUGUAAGAUAUCAACAUGACCGUGAGAUGCAGCUUUGUGCAAUGGUGUAUCACCAUCAUUGUCCACCGCGUUCACACUGGCACCAUGGUUAAGCAACAGUUGUAAGAUAUCAACAUCACCGCGAAUUGCAGCGUGGUGCAAUGGUGUAUUACCAUCCUUGUUCACCGCGUUCACACUGGCACCAUGGUUAAGCAACAGUUGUAAGAUAUCAUCAUGACCAUCUGCAGCGUAGUGCAAUGGUGUAUCACUCUCAUUGUCCACCGUGUUCACACUGGCACCAUGGUUAAGCAACAGUUGUAAGAUAUCAACAUCACCGCGAAUUGCAGGGUGGUGCAAUGGUGUAUUACCAUCCUUGUUCACCGCGUUCACACUGGCACCAUGGUUAAGCAACAGUUGUAAGAUAUCAACAUGACCGUGAGAUGCAGCUUUGUGCAAUGGUGUAUCACCAUCAUUGUCCACCGCGUUCACACUGGCACCAUGGUUAAGCAACAGUUGUAAGAUAUCAACAUGACCGUAAGAUGCAGCUUUGUGCAAUGGUGUAUAACCCUAGAGACCGCCACGUUGAUUCAACAUGUUGAUGAUAUCCGAGUCUUUUUGCAAGAUCUCUUGUACUUUGCGAAGAUUCCUGUUUGCACAAGCAUCAUGUAGAGAUUCAUCUUGUUUUGUUGACAUUCCUUGGUUUAAACCUUGUUAGAAUUUACCAUCAUAUAGUUACAUUUGCAGAAGCAUCCUCUGAAAAGUUCCUACAGAAACAGAGCUAGUAAUAAGUAGGGAUGUGCCAGAGCCAGAUACCGGUAUCCGGCAAAAUAUAGGCAUCCGUCACCAUAUAGUAAAAUAGACUUUUAUCACAACCCCAGACAUCUGUUAUAAAAUUAAUACACUUUGAAUAAAUUAGUUCGUUUUUAUAAUUUGUUUAAAAUAAUAAAAAACCUGGUUUCCUGGGGUAACAUUUCAAGCCGGCCUAAGGAUAAAAUCCUAUUCAAACACAGCAAGCGAUUUAUACACGACAAAAA
Non-coding RNA from Paramuricea clavata, 1549 nucleotides. The record is from the annotation of a GenBank genome assembly. Lineage: Eukaryota; Metazoa; Cnidaria; Anthozoa; Malacalcyonacea; Plexauridae.